Fukomys damarensis (Damara mole-rat) is the source of this 511-nucleotide long non-coding RNA. RefSeq lists it as uncharacterized. NCBI's taxonomy places the organism in Eukaryota, Metazoa, Chordata, Mammalia, Rodentia, Bathyergidae. The record is from RefSeq and is a predicted model, not a curated record. The transcript is spliced from 3 exons.
GAAAACCACUACAACUGGACUUCCAGGAUUUUUAGCUUUCAAGAUAGUCCAUAUUCAGCCUCCAGCAAUUUAUUAAAAGUGAUCUCUGUUUUCCUAUCAGUAUCCACUUUCAGUGACUUCUGUUCCUGAGACUUGGAGGCACGGUCUCAGGCUCAUGUUCUGGCACCAGCCACCCACUGUCAUGGAAUAUGUUGGUGCUUUCUGGGAGAUACACAGACCCAGAUGGGAGAGAACACUGGAGCAGUUCUGAUGAGGCAAAGAACUAUUUGCAGAUUCAAAUUCUUGGUCAAGUGAUGGAAGCAUUUCUCCAGCGGCAUCUGAUGCAUGGUAAUAAGGCUUUUACCAGCUUGAUGAAUGUUCACCAAAAUACCACAAGACAUUUACCCAUGCCCAAGAAAACACAAUGUGAUGACAGGAGGAAAAGAAGUAUGAAAAAGAAAGAAAAUGAAACUAACAUGUGAGAAUAAUAAGUGACCAUACUGAAGAGGUUUGUGUUUCAACCUAUUUUAAG